Non-coding RNA from Oryza glumipatula, 206 nucleotides. Lineage: Eukaryota; Viridiplantae; Streptophyta; Magnoliopsida; Poales; Poaceae. The record is from Rfam.
AAAAAGACAAACCGUGGGUUCCCAUGCCAACGUUUAACUGUCCGUCUUAUAUGAAAUUUUUUUAUAAUUAGUAUUUUUAUUGUUGUUAGAUGAUAAAACAUGAUUAAUACUUUAUGUGUGACUUAUCUUUUUAAUUUUUUUCAUAAUUUUUUUAAAUAAGACGGACGGUGAAACGUUUGACACGGAAACCAGAGUUUGUCUUUUUU